GCUUUGGUAUCAGGAUGAUGCUGGCCUCAUAAAAUGAGUUAGGGAGGAUUCCCUCUUUUUCUAUUGAUUGGAAUAGUUUCAGAAGGAAUGGUACCAGCUCCUCCUUGUACCUCUGGUAGAAUUUGGCUGUGAAUCCAUCUGGUCCUGGACUUUUUUUGGUUGUCUGUCCUGCCGCUCUGUGGAGCUGCUCCUGCCAACUCAUUGCUUUCUGCUGUGCUGUGAUCCUGCAGUCAGUUGCCGCUGUUGCUACUGCAAUCAUUUGCACCAAACUGAGCCAGAGAAGUUCCCUCUUUUAACAUAAAGGGUCAAGAAAUUGGAGCAUGGCUAUGAGCAAUGGAAACAAUGAUUUUGUGGUUCUGAGCAACAGCAGCAUCACAACCAGUGCUGCUAACCCGAGUCCCCUCACGCCCUGUGAUGGAGACCAUGCAGCCCAGCAGCUCACACCCAAAGAAGCAACAAGAACAAAAGUGAGUCCAAAUGGAUGCCUGCAACUUAAUGGCACAGUCAGAUCAUCCUUUCUGCCUUUAGACAACCAAAGAAUGCCUCAGAUGUUACCCCAAUGCUGCCAUCCUUGCCCAUACCAUCACCCUUUGACUAGCCAUAGCAGUCACCAAGAGUGCCAUCCCGAGGCUGGCCCUGCAGCACCCUCUGCUUUGGCCUCGUGUUGCAUGCAGCCACACUCCGAGUAUUCUGCAUCUCUUUGUCCAAAUCAUUCACCUGUGUAUCAGACUACGUGCUGUCUUCAGCCCUCUCCAUCCUUCUGCCUGCAUCAUCCGUGGCCUGACCAUUUUCAGCAUCAGCCUGUGCAACAGCACAUAGCCAACAUAAGUUCACCAGAAAAACUAAGUGUGCUUCAUGGCUUCUUCAGAUGUGAACGUGUUCACUGAAAGCCCAGUCUGUGUAAAGCUGCUGAGCCCUCACCAGCUCACUGGAGUGGCCCUGCGCUCCAUCCCUCUAUGCACACUUGGAUAGCCCUGGCCAGCUGAGCGCUGCAGGUCGGGAGGCUGCUGUCUCCUACAGCCACACACUUCUGCUCCCAGCAUUUGAAAAGUUGCUUACCAAACCCAU
RNAcentral lists this small RNA (1068 nucleotides) under Pongo abelii (Sumatran orangutan). RNAcentral's name for it is "processed transcript". The record is from RNAcentral. Lineage: Eukaryota; Metazoa; Chordata; Mammalia; Primates; Hominidae.